UGGGGAAUAUUGCGCAAUGGGCGAAAGCCUUACGCAGCGACGCCGCGUGAGGGAUGAAGGUUUUCGGAUCGUAAACCUCUGUCAGAAGGGAAGAAACCGCACUGUGCUAAUCAGCAGUGCCUUGACGGUACCUUCAAAGGAAGCACCGGCUAACUCCGUGCCAGCAGCCGCGGUAAUACGGAGGGUGCAAGCGUUAAUCGGAAUUACUGGGCGUAAAGCGCACGUAGGCUGCUUUGUAAGUCAGGGGUGAAAUCCCACGGCUCAACCGUGGAACUGCCUUUGAUACUGCUUAGCUUGAAUCCGGGAGAGGGUGGCGGAAUUCCAGGUGUAGGAGUGAAAUCCGUAGAUAUCUGGAGGAACAUCAGUGGCGAAGGCGGCCACCUGGACCGGUAUUGACGCUGAGGUGCGAAAGCGUGGGGAGCAAACAGG
RNAcentral lists this ribosomal RNA (429 nucleotides) under Fusobacteriota bacterium. RNAcentral's name for it is "Fusobacteria bacterium partial 16S ribosomal RNA". It matches the Rfam family "Bacterial small subunit ribosomal RNA", at positions 355 to 776 of the family's 1533-position model. The record is from RNAcentral. Lineage: Bacteria; Fusobacteriati; Fusobacteriota.